This 464-nucleotide ribosomal RNA is filed under the name uncultured bacterium. RNAcentral's name for it is "partial 16S ribosomal RNA". It matches the Rfam family "Bacterial small subunit ribosomal RNA", at positions 28 to 507 of the family's 1533-position model. The record is from RNAcentral.
GACGAACGCUGGCGGCGUGCUUAACACAUGCAAGUCGAACGGAAAGGCCCAGCUUGCUGGGUGCUCGAGUGGCGAACGGGUGAGUAACACGUGGGUGAUCUGCCCCUAACUUCGGGAUAAGCUUGGGAAACUGGGUCUAAUACCGGAUAGGACAAUCGUUUAGUGUCGGUUGUGGAAAGUUUUUUCGGUUAGGGAUGAGCCCGCGCCCUAUCAGCUUGUUGGUGGGGUAAUGGCCUACCAAGGCGUCGACGGGUAGCCGGCCUGAGAGGGUGGACGGCCACAUUGGGACUGAGAUACGGCCCAGACUCCUACGGGAGGCAGCAGUGGGGAAUAUUGCACAAUGGGCGCAAGCCUGAUGCAGCGACGCCGCGUGGGGGAUGACGGCCUUCGGGUUGUAAACCUCUUUCGACAGGGACGAAGCUUUGGUGACGGUACCUGUAUAAGAAGCACCGGCUAACUACGUG